AAAGACAACAGAAUUGUAGA
RNAcentral lists this small nuclear RNA (20 nucleotides) under Arabidopsis thaliana (thale cress). RNAcentral's name for it is "snRNA_17064". Lineage: Eukaryota; Viridiplantae; Streptophyta; Magnoliopsida; Brassicales; Brassicaceae. The record is from RNAcentral.